UAUGAACCUUUGAGGGUUGAGCUUGGCGUUUAUUUAUUUAAUUUCGGCAUGUGGGGCUUGCCCUCUCAUCCUUUAUACAACCUGUGGCACUUUUGAAGGGAGACAUUAGUAGACAUUCACUUGUCGAAGGUAUCUCCCUUUACACUACAUACUCUAAUGAUUUACUUUGAAUGUUUUAAACGGCUUAACAGCAUUUAAAUUACAA
RNAcentral lists this unclassified non-coding RNA (205 nucleotides) under soil metagenome. RNAcentral describes it as "partial internal transcribed spacer 1". The record is from RNAcentral.